GACGAACGCUGGCGGCGUGCCUAAUACAUGCAAGUCGAGCGGACAGAAGGGAGCUUGCUCCCGGAUGUUAGCGGCGGACGGGUGAGUAACACGUGGGUAACCUGCCUGUAAGACUGGGAUAACUCCGGGAAACCGGAGCUAAUACCGGAUAGUUCCUUGAACCGCAUGGUUCACGGAUGAAAGACGGUUUCGGCUGUCACUUACAGAUGGACCCGCGGCGCGUUAGCUAGUUGGUGGGGUAAUGGCUCACCAAGGCGACGAUGCGUAGCCUACCUGAGAGGGUGCUCGGCCACACUGGGACUGAGACCCGGCCCAGACUCCUGCGGGAGGCAGCAGUAGGGAAUCUUCCGCAAUGGACGAAAGGCUGACGGAGCAACGCCGCGGGAGUGAAGAAGGUUUUCGGAUCGUAAAGCUCUGUUGUUUGAGACGAACGUGCAAUUUUUGAAUAAGGAAUUGUAAUGACGGUAUUAAACGAGAAAGCCACGGCUAACUACGUGCCAGCAGCCGCCGUAA
Molecule: ribosomal RNA, 513 nt
Filed under: uncultured bacterium
Lineage: Bacteria
Description: partial 16S ribosomal RNA
Rfam family: Bacterial small subunit ribosomal RNA
Source: RNAcentral